UGCAGUCGAGCGGGGGAGRUUGCUUCGGUAAYUGACCUAGCGGCGGACGGGUGAGUAAUACUUAGGAAUCUGCCUAUUAAUGGGGGACAACAUCUCGAAAGGGAUGCUAAUACCGCAUACGCCCUACGGGGGAAAGCAGGGGAUCACUUGUGACCUUGCGUUAAUAGAUGAGCCUAAGUCGGAUUAGCUAGUUGGUGGGGUAAAGGCCUACCAAGGCGACGAUCUGUAGCGGGUCUGAGAGGAUGAUCCGCCACACUGGGACUGAGACACGGCCCAGACUCCUACGGGAGGCAGCAGUGGGGAAUAUUGGACAAUGGGGGGAACCCUGAUCCAGCCAUGCCGCGUGUGUGAAGAAGGCCUUAUGGUUGUAAAGCACUUUAAGCGAGGAGGAGGCUCCUGUAGUUAAUACCUACAGUGAGUGGACGUUACUCGCAGAAUAAGCACCGGCUAACUCUGUGCCAGCAGCCGCGGUAAUACAGAGGGUGCGAGCGUUAAUCGGAUUUACUGGGCGUAAAGCGUGCGUAGGCGGCUUUUUAAGUCGGAUGUGAAAUCCCCGAGCUUAACUUGGGAAUUGCAUUCGAUACUGGGAAGCUAGAGUAUGGGAGAGGAUGGUAGAAUUCCAGGUGUAGCGGUGAAAUGCGUAGAGAUCUGGAGGAAUACCGAUGGCGAAGGCAGCCAUCUGGCCUAAUACUGACGCUGAGGUACGAAAGCAUGGGGAGCAAACAGGAUUAGAUACCCUGGUAGUCCAUGCCGUAAACGAUGUCUACUAGCCGUUGGGGCCUUUGAGGCUUUAGUGGCGCAGCUAACGCGAUAAGUAGACCGCCUGGGGAGUACGGUCGCAAGACUAAAACUCAAAUGAAUUGACGGGGGCCCGCACAAGCGGUGGAGCAUGUGGUUUAAUUCGAUGCAACGCGAAGAACCUUACCUGGUCUUGACAUAGUAAGAACUUUCCAGAGAUGGAUUGGUGCCUUCGGGAACUUACAUACAGGUGCUGCAUGGCUGUCGUCAGCUCGUGUCGUGAGAUGUUGGGUUAAGUCCCGCAACGARCGCAACCCUUUUCCUUAUUUGCCRCACUUCGG
Molecule: ribosomal RNA, 1079 nt
Filed under: Acinetobacter sp.
Lineage: Bacteria; Pseudomonadati; Pseudomonadota; Gammaproteobacteria; Moraxellales; Moraxellaceae
Description: bacterial SSU rRNA
Source: RNAcentral